CAGCACGGGUGCUUGCACCUGGUGGCGAGUGGCGAACGGGUGAGUAAUACAUCGGAACAUGUCCUGUAGUGGGGGAUAGCCCGGCGAAAGCCGGAUUAAUACCGCAUACGAUCUAUGGAUGAAAGCGGGGGACCUUCGGGCCUCGCGCUAUAAGGUUGGCCGAUGGCUGAUUAGCUAGUUGGUGGGGUAAAGGCCUACCAAGGCGACGAUCAGUAGCUGGUCUGAGAGGACGACCAGCCACACUGGGACUGAGACACGGCCCAGACUCCUACGGGAGGCAGCAGUGGGGAAUUUUGGACAAUGGGCGAAAGCCUGAUCCAGCAAUGCCGCGUGUGUGAAGAAGGCCUUCGGGUUGUAAAGCACUUUUGUCCGGAAAGAAAUCCUUGGUUCUAAUAUAGCCGGGGGAUGACGGUACCGGAAGAAUAAGCACCGGCUAACUACGUGCCAGCAGCCGCGGUAAUACGUAGGGUGCGAGCGUUAAUCGGAAUUACUGGGCGUAAAGCGUGCGCAGGCGGUUUGCUAAGACCGAUGUGAAAUCCCCGGGCUCAACCUGGGAACUGCAUUGGUGACUGGCAGGCUAGAGUAUGGCAGAGGUGGGGUAGAAUUCCACGUGUAGCAGUGAAAUGCGUAGAGAUGUGGAGGAAUACCGAUGGCGAA
Molecule: ribosomal RNA, 657 nt
Filed under: uncultured beta proteobacterium
Lineage: Bacteria; Pseudomonadati; Pseudomonadota; Betaproteobacteria
Description: bacterial SSU rRNA
Rfam family: Bacterial small subunit ribosomal RNA
Source: RNAcentral